This 2804-nucleotide long non-coding RNA is filed under the name Xyrichtys novacula (pearly razorfish). The record is from RNAcentral. Lineage: Eukaryota; Metazoa; Chordata; Actinopteri; Labriformes; Labridae.
UUUCAGUGACAACAGUCAGAGUGAAAGUAUGUGAGCUGAAAAACAGACUCCAUUUUGAGAAAAGAAGAGAGAGGAGAGGACGAGGAGACAGGGUGAGUGUUUACUCUGUUUUUGUUUUAAUGUCAAACUCUUUAUCUGUAUCAUCCGUUAAUGAAAAAUGAUUUACUGACUAAUACACUGAAAAACUGUAAAACAAAGAAACUUGACCAGACAAAGAGCUGGAUCAGUUCUUGAUACAGAAAACUGUGUAUGUGCAGUUCUUCCUCCUCUUUGUUUAGACUUGACUUUUUGGUAAAAACAUAAAUAAGAAUCUUUUUAGAGUCUCAUUUCAAAUUUAAUCCAGUCCCCUUAAUCUUAUAUGAGAGUUCAGGGACCUCACAGCUGAUUUUGUUUUGACCAUGAAUGAGAUAAGGAUCAGAGAGAGGCCCUGCAGGGUGGGGAGACAUCAGAAGUACUUGGAUAUUAAACCUGUAUAACUCUUAAAGAGGGGGAUUAAGUCUGUACUUCCUUUCUGAUUCCUCUUUUAUUUCUGAAGUCUCUUCCUGUUUGUAUCUCACCUGUUUGUCUACUUUGUCCUCAGGUUGAAUAACUUGGUUUCAUCUUCCAUGAAUCUUCACAACAUCAGAUGGAGAAGAUGAGUGUUUGUGUUGAGGAAGAGGAGGACAGAGCAAAGUCUGUUAUGUCCGACUGUCUGUCUAUGAAGAGUGACCGGUCUAAAGAUGAUCCUCUAAACUUCAGUAAAGAACCAGGACCCUCAGAGGAGGGCAGAACAGAGUCUGUUAUGUCCGACUGUCUGUCUAUGAAGAGUGACUGGUCUAAAGCUGAUCCUCUAAACUUCGGUAAAGAACCAGGACCCUCAGAUUCACGGUAAGAGAAAUACUUUUCACCCUCCAAACUCUCAAACAACAACAACUGAUGUUUUAAAAUCAGAACUUUAAAUUCUGACCCCUCUGUUUUCUACCAUGGUGAGAAAAAUGAUCUCCUCUGCUCUCAAAACGCUGAUUUUCCUCUUUAACCUUCAACCUGGAGAAAGUAAAGAAAAAGUCACUGAGCACAGAUUUACUUAUUAUUCCUCAUGUUGAUAAAAAUGAAGGUCAUAUAAAACAGCAUUUGAAGAGGAUUCUGACCUCUGUAUUUUCUGAUUUGGUUCCUGUGUUUGGGACGUUUUGAGCCUGUAAGUCUUUGGACUGUGGUGUAUAGACCCCAGAAAACAGUCUGUGGGUCACAAAAUACCAGAAGACCAAUGAAGAAAUAAAUCCUGAGAAAUAAAAACUCAUUCAAACAUCUGUCUGUUAUUAGACCUUUAGAUCUGAUUGGUCAAAAAAAUGUUUUAAACUGUCAGAGAAAAUCUCUCUACCUUCAAAAAUCACAGUUUAGUUUUUUCUCCUGUCUCCACACUUUCAGGCAGCAGCAGCUGAAUAUUUUACAGGAGAUUGUUUUAUGUUAGAGAAAAGAGUGAGGUCAGAAACUCUGGUUUAAUAAAUGCUUCUUAUUCUGUAUCUUUCAAACAUGAAAUGAUAAAGAAAAUAAAUGUUCUUUAUUUCCACAGAGAGACACAGAGAUGUGACUCUGUGGAGGAGCAGCUGUCCAGAUGUUUUUCAUGUCAGGACGUCCUGAAGGAUCCAGUCUCUUACCGCUGUGGACACCUGUCCUGCAGACAGUGCCUGGCCUCAUGCAGGGACCAGUCUACUUCUUUAGGACACACCUCCUGUCCCCAGUGUGGAAAAAGAACCAGAACAGCUCUUGUCUCUCAGACAGACAGUCAGUCCAGCUCUGAUGGAAGUAAGUCUGAACAUCUGUCCUCUAAAGUCUCUGUGGAUGAAAACUCAGCUGACUGAUUUUCACAAAGACGGUUCAGUGUUGAGAAGUUUGGUUCAUUUUAUUUUUCUUCUCUUUCAGAAGAUCUCGGUCUGCAGGAGGUUUUAGAUGAACAUAAGAUCAGUCUGAAGAGGAGAUGUGAACGCGUGAAUGAAGGAAGUGAUGUAACAGGAAGUAGUCAAACCCUCCUCAACAGGAUCUUCACUGAGCUCUACAUCACAGAGGGACUGAGUGAAGAGGUGAACACCCAACAUGAGGUGAGACAGCUGGAGACAGUUUCAAAGAUGAAGACCCUCCAUGACACGCCCAUCAAGUGUCAUGAGAUCUUUAAAACCUUACCUGACCAACAGAAGAAGGUCAUCAGAGUGGUUCUGACCAACGGCGUGGCUGGUGUUGGAAAAACCUUCUCAGUGCAGAAGUUCACUCUGGACUGGGCAGAGGGUUUGGAGAACCGAGACCUCCAUCUGGUGGUCCUGCUUUCAUUCAGGGAGCUGAACCUGAUCAGAGAUGAGUGCUUCAGUCUUCUGAGUCUGCUCCAUGUUUUCCAUCCAACCCUAGAGAAGGUCACAGCAGAGACGCUGGCUGUCUGUAAACUUCUGUUCAUCUUUGACGGUCUGGAUGAAAGCAGACUGUCUCUGGAUUUCACAGACUCUGAGGUGGUGUCUGACGUCACACAGAAGUCUUCACUGAACGUUCUGUUAACAAACCUCAUCAAGGGGAACCUGCUCCCCUCAGCUCUCAUCUGGAUAACUUCUCGACCUUCAGCAGCCAAUCAGAUCCCUCCUUCACGUGUGGACAGGGUAACAGAAGUACGAGGCUUCACUGACGCCCAGAAGGAGGAGUACUUCAGGAAGAGGCUCAGAGAUGAAGAUCUGUCCAGAAGAAUCAUCUCACACAUCAAGUCCUCCAGGAGCCUCCACAUCAUGUGUCAGAUCCCGGUCUUCUGCUGGAUCACUGCUACAGUUCUGGAGGACAUGAUGAGCAGA